GACGAACGCUGGCGGCGUGCUUAACACAUGCAAGUCGAACGGAAAGGCCCCUUUGGGGGUCCUCGAGUGGCGAACGGGUGAGUAACACGUGAGUAACCUGCCCUUGCCUUCGGGAUAACUUCAGGAAACUGGGGCUAAUACCGGAUAGGAAUCCUUGCUGCAUGGUGGGGGUUGGAAAGCUUCGGCGGUUUUGGAUGGACUCGCGGCGUAUCAGCUUGUUGGUGGGGUAGUGGCUUACCAAGGCGUUGACGGGUAGCCGGCCUGAGAGGGCGACCGGCCACAUUGGGACUGAGAUACGGCCCAGACGCCUUCGGGAGGCAGCAGUGGGGAAGAUUGAACAAUGGGCGGAAGCCUGAUGCAGCAACGCCGCGUGCGGGAUGACGGCCUUCGGGUUGUAAACCGCUUUCAGCAGGGGCGAAGCUUGUGGUGACGGUACCUGCAGAAGAAGCACCGGCUAACUACGUG
Molecule: ribosomal RNA, 465 nt
Filed under: uncultured bacterium
Lineage: Bacteria
Description: partial 16S ribosomal RNA
Rfam family: Bacterial small subunit ribosomal RNA
Source: RNAcentral